This 1191-nucleotide ribosomal RNA is filed under the name uncultured organism. Its description in RNAcentral is "bacterial SSU rRNA". It matches the Rfam family "Bacterial small subunit ribosomal RNA", at positions 199 to 1418 of the family's 1533-position model. The record is from RNAcentral.
GAGUAAAGAUUUCGGUCGCUUUGGGAGGAGCUCGCUUACUAUCAGCUUGUUGGUAGGGUAAUGGCCUACCAAGGCUAUGACGGUUAGGGGGUGUGAGAGCAUGACCCCCAGCAUUGGCACUGAAACACUGGCCAAACACCUACGGGUGGCUGCAGUCGAGAAUCUUCCACAAUGGGGGAAACCCUGAUGGAGCGAUGCUGCGUGCGGGAUGAAGGCCUUCGGGUUGUAAACCGCUUUUGUAGGGGACGAAAUUUUUGACGGUACCCUUUCGAAUAAGAGGUUGCUAACUCUGUGCCAGCAGCAGCGGUAAUACAGAGACCUCGAGCGUUAUCCGGAUUUACUGGGCGUAAAGCGUCUGUAGGGGGUUUAUUAAGUUCCAAGUAAAAUUUCGAGGCUCAACUUUGAAUUCGCUUGGAAAACUAAUAAACUGGAGUCUAGCAGAGGUGCAUGGAACUUGUGGUGUAGGAGUGAAAUCCGUUGAUAUCACAAGGAACACCAAAGGCGAAGGCAUUGCACUGGGCUAGCACUGACCCUGAGAGACGAAAGCGUGGGGAGCAAAACGGAUUAGAUACCCGAUUAGUCCACGCCCUAAACGAUGAAUGCUAAAUGUUCGGGGAUUCGACCCCCUGGGUGUUACAGCUAACGCGUUAAGCAUUCCGCCUGGGAAGUACGGCCGCAAGGCUAAAACUCAAAGGAAUAGACGGGGAUCCGCACAAGCGGUGGAGCGUCUGGUUUAAUUCGACAGUAAGCGUGGUACCUCACCAGGGUUUGACAUCCCUUGACAGCCUUGGAAACAAGGUUUCCUUCGGGCAAGGUGACAGGUGCUGCAUGGUCGUCGUCAGUUCGUGCCGUGAGGUGUUCCGUUAAGUCGGGAAACGAACGAAACCCGUAGUGGCAUGUUACAAUUUCUCAUGCAAGACUGCCCGGAUACCCUGGGAGCAAGGUGGGGAUGACGUCAGAUCUGCAUGGUCUUUAUACCCUGGGCGACACAGGCGCUACAAUGGCAGAGACAAAGGGUUGCAAAACCGCAAGGUGAAGCUAAUCCCAAAAACUUUGUCUAAGUUCGGAUUGAAGGCUGCAAUUCGCCUUCAUGAAGCUGGAAUCGCUAGUAAUCCUCGCAUCCCCCACGUCACGGUGAAUAUGUUCCCGGAUCUUGUACUCACCGCCCGUCACACCAAGAGAGUUGGUAGC